RNAcentral lists this long non-coding RNA (2980 nucleotides) under Bos grunniens (domestic yak). RNAcentral describes it as "lncRNA (ENSBGRG00000023302.1)". Lineage: Eukaryota; Metazoa; Chordata; Mammalia; Artiodactyla; Bovidae. The record is from RNAcentral.
CCUGGGUCUGGGGGCGUGGCUGCUGAAAGGAAGCCAAAAUGUAGAGUCGGAGGGAGCUUUGGGCUGGAGAGUGGGAGCGUUCCAUGAAGUAGAGAGCGGGUUAAGAUUAGGGAAAGUGAAGUUCAGAAAGGGGGCCAAAGUAGAGAAGUAGGUCCAAGCGAGAUUUAGUAGAAGUCAAGGAGGUUUUUUGGUUUAUAAGGUAAAUAAACAAAAAACAACUUGACUCUGGCCCCCUUGUUACUGAAGGGCUGUGUGGGUGACAGAAGACAGAAAUAAAAAAGACGGAAUGUAAGCAGUAGUGGGUUAUUUGUCUGAUGAAUGAGACAGCUAAUAAAACUGGAGCCCAGCCCGGGUCCGAGAAAGAGGGGGCGAAGGAACAGAAGCCGGCGCCUCCAACCAGGCUCCGGGCCAGAAGAGCUCAACGCCCGGGGCCUCCCCUCCGGAUGGGGGCUGCUCCGGCCUAGUGCACGCAGCUGCCUCGGCGAAGGGUUAACCCGGCGCCCAGAGCCCCUGUCGGCUCGGAGGGCGGCGGAGAGGAAGGGCUGCUGCCAGGGGCGCAGCCGCGACUGUGGCGUGUACGUGGGGGGCAGGGGCUCCUACUCACCCGGGCCGGCCGCCUCCGCCUCCGCCGCCCCGACCGCCGCCUCGGCGGUCCAUCCCUGCGGCGGGGGGCCUGUAGCCGCGGCGCUCGAGUAACAACCGCCGGCCGGGCCGGCCCCUCCCCCCUGCCCAACGUCUGUCCUCAGGGCCGCUCCGCAGACCCGGCCUCGGCCGCCGCCGCCGCCGCCGCCGCCGCCGCCGCAGCGCUACGUGGCCGCCGCUCCGACGUCUCGCGACUCCCUUCCGAGCGCGCGAGGGCGAGCGGGGCUGGCGGGGCGGGCGGUGCGCGGGGAGGGAGGCAGGGGAGGGGGGGGGGUGUGCGUGUGUGGUUGUGUGUGCAGAGAGGGGGGCAGGGAGAGAGGGAGGGCGAGCAGCGGCGAGAGCGCGCGCGCGCCCGCGGCCCCUUCCCUUGCCGGCCCCCCCCCACCCGCCCAACAGGGAGCCCGACACCUCCCUCCGCCCGCCCCCCUGGCAUCCCGGCCGCUGGGCGCGGCGGCGCGCAUGCGCAGCCCUCGGGGCCGGCCCUGGCGCACCUUUUCUCCCCGCUGCCACAUUGUGAGCGCUUCGCCUCCCACACAACCGCCGACUCCCGCUCCACCCCCGCCUCCCCUACUCCGCCCACUGCCGAGCGCCCAGAGAGCAGUGGACAAGCAAGUCAAGUGGAAUAUGUAGUGUCUCGUCUUGGUUAGAUUGUUGGAGGACUUUUCUGCAAAUUAUAGUGGUUAAGCACUGACUCAACAUCCAACAACUGCAUAAGAGCUUCUUAGAGCCUUCGUUCAUGGACAAGUUUCAAAAUGAAACAGCGUCACCACCUCUCAUGGGCGAUGUAGUCAGAGAACAGAAGAGAGUGAAUUUCACCUUUAACAAAGUGGCUGCUUUCUGGAGAAGUGGCAGGAUCUGGUAUUUCCCAGCACGGUGAAAUUGGGAAGUGCCUUUUGCAGCCCUUCUCACUUUCAUGGUUUGUUUGGACAUGGAAUUCUUAAGCUCUUAAUUCCGUCCCUGCUUCCUGUGUCACUUCCCUAGGAGACUGAAUUCAAGGAGGGCGGGACCUCCUCCCCUGGGGCGGGGGGAGAACAGAAUGCGGACUGAUGCCUUUGGGCUCUUACCAUGUAGACAUCCUGUUGGCACAUUCUCCACUCCUCCCCAGCAAAGCAUGCUCUGCUCUGUGAAGAAUCCAGGCAGGAAGUAAAAGAGAUCUGUGCAGCCACAGUGGAAAUGCCCGGCCUCUCAGGAACCCCAGAUGGCCAUCCAGUCUGAUCACACAUCCCAUUCUGUUUUCAUUAUUAGUGUCCGUCCUGUCUGUUCAUGGGCUCCCCCAGGACAGGAGGCAUAUCUGCCCUAGUCACCAUCAGAGCCAUCUUAAUACAUCACAGUGCCUGGUACAGAGUGGCUGUUAGUAAAUAUUUGUUGAAUAAAUCAACUAUGAAUGUGGAAGUGGUUCUCUUAAAGAGCUCUUUGCUCUUUCUCAGCUACUGAGUUACAAGACGAGUGUGCUGGUGGUGAGAAGGGACACCUUUGGGUUAUAAUAAAAGGAGUUAGAAAUGUGUGGGAGGGCUCCUAAGUGUUCCAGUUGUAUCUACUAAGCAACAGGGAACCUCUGCGACUUCUUUAGGUCACCAACAGGAGAUGGCGAGCCGGUGGGGGCUGUGUUAUUGUUGUUGUUCAGUCGCCCAGUCGUGCCUGACUCUUUGCAGCCCCAUGGACUGUAGCACGCCAAGCCUCCCUGUCCCUUACCAUCUCCUGAAGUUUACCCAAGUUCAUGUCCAUUGCAUCAGUGAUGCCAUCCAGCCAUCUCAUCCUCUGACACCCUCUUCUUCUUCUGCCCUCAAUCUUGCCCAACCGUAGGUGACCCCUGGGAGUGGGGACUUUGCAAGCUGUAUUUGAUCUGGAAGAGGGUAGGAUCACCUGAAGAACAAGUACAUCUUCUUGAAGAAGUCUAAUCACAGUUGCAAGCUACAGAGAUGACUUUUGUGACUGAAGGGUGACUAUUUUAGCUAGGUAAGUGUCAAGAAAGUGGUAGGAAUUCUAGUGAGCCUUGCUCCUAAGUGAACUCAGAGCUGGCGGUGGGAACAGAAGCAAGCAAGUGCAGUCAUGGUCAAAAAUGGCCAAAGAGGAAGAUGCCUCGGGACUCAGCCCAGGAUCCUGGUAUUGCACUACAUGGAGGAGGGGGGACGAAACCAAGUAGGAAGAUUUGUCUUUAUUCUGAAGGCAGAGGCCAUGUCUUAAGAAUCAAAGCCACGGCUCAGAGCAGAGCACCUGACAUAUCAUAGCUGCUUAAUACAUGCUUGGUAGUGAAUGAAUCGGGCUUCCUAGGUGGCUCAAGUGGUAAAGAAUCUGCAUGCCAACCCACAGGAGACGCGGGUUCAAUCCCCAGGUCGGG